This 473-nucleotide ribosomal RNA is filed under the name uncultured Funneliformis. RNAcentral describes it as "eukaryotic LSU rRNA". It matches the Rfam family "Eukaryotic large subunit ribosomal RNA", at positions 288 to 642 of the family's 3401-position model. Lineage: Eukaryota; Fungi; Glomeromycota; Glomeromycetes; Glomerales; Glomeraceae. The record is from RNAcentral.
CAAAAUGGGAGGUAAAUUUCUCCUAAGGCUAAAUAUUGGCGAGAGACCGAUAGCGAACAAGUACCGUGAGGGAAAGAUGAAAAGAACUUUGAAAAGAGAGUUAAACAGUACGUGAAAUUGUUGAAAGGGAAACGAUUGAAGUCAGUCAUACUAACGGGAAAUCAACCUAUUUGAGUUGUGAAUUUUGGAUUUUGAAGAGUGUAAACCAUCUUGUUCAAAUAUUUGCGCUUGUUGGGCGUAAUUUCUCGUUCGGUAGGUUAACAUCGAUUUUGAAUAUUAUAAAAUGACUGGAGGAAUGUAGCUUCGAUCUCGUAUUGAAGUGAUAUAGCCUUUGGUAGAUGUAAUGAUCAAGAUCGAGGAUUGCAACGAAUACCCUUUGGGCUAUCCGUCUGAUCUCUGAUACGUUGCCUUGGUAACGAAAGCUUGCUUACGGUAUUGAGGCAUAACGGUCAAAAGGUUAGAACGUGAUUACA